RNAcentral lists this unclassified non-coding RNA (1792 nucleotides) under uncultured fungus. Its description in RNAcentral is "sequence contains 18S rRNA gene, ITS1, 5.8S rRNA gene, ITS2, 28S rRNA gene". The stretch from base 660 to 1792 matches the Rfam family "Eukaryotic large subunit ribosomal RNA", at positions 1 to 961 of the family's 3401-position model. Lineage: Eukaryota; Fungi. The record is from RNAcentral.
GGAAGGAUCAUUACCAAAUCCAAAUUACCAAACCCCAUGUGAACUAUUGUUUAGUCUGUCUUUGGGAGAAAAUGAAAAAUGAAAGAAAAAAUUGGAGCUUUUUCCUUUUCUUUCUGGAUUUUGAAUUUUUCUCCCAAUAGAGUCCGGCCCAAUGUUAUCAUUGUGUUCAGAUUCGAAAACACCCUUUUAAACCACUUGAUUUUUCUGUUGGAAUUUUCUUUUAUUAAUUUUAAAUAAAAGACAACUUUUAACGGCGGAUCUCUUGGCUCGUGGAUCGAUGAAGAACGCAGCAAACUGCGAUACGUAGUGUGAAUUGCAGAAUUCAGUGAAUCAUCGAAUCUUUGAACGCAAAUUGCGCUACUGGGCAUUCCCGGUAGCAUGCUUGGCUGAGUAUCAUCUGGAUAUAUCACAAACAUUUUUUGUUUGUGGAAAUGAGGAUUGUCACAUUGAUGCUUGAUUCGUCAGGAUUUUCGAUGCGUCCCUUUAAAUACAGUAAUUGGUGGGAAAGGAUACUGACUGUUCCUUUUGUUACCAACUAGUGUGUUAAUUGUCCUUUUGGACAUUUUUUUAUACGCUAUGUUGAGAACAGGGACACUUUUUAAAGUUAGAAUCCAUACAAAUUUCUGGCCAUUCAUAAAUCAAAAUCUCUUUUGAAAUUUUGAUCUCAGCUCAAGCAAGACUACCCGCUGAAUUUAAGCAUAUUAAUAAGCGGAGGAAAAGAAACUAACAAGGAUUCCCUUAGUAACGGCGAGUGAAGCGGGAAGAGCUCAAAUUUUAAAGCUCCGUGGUUUCCACGGCGCGUUGUAAACUAAAGAAGCGUUUUCUCGCGCGGCCCCGGUACAAGUCCGUUGGAACGCGGCAUCAUGGAGGGUGAGAAUCCCGUUCGUGACUGGGUGACCUGUGCGUCUACGAUACGUUUUCAAAGAGUCGGGUUGUUUGGGAAUGCAGCCCAAAAUGGGUGGUAAAUUUCAUCUAAAGCUAAAUAUUGCCACGAGACCGAUAGCGAACAAGUACCGUGAGGGAAAGAUGAAAAGAACUUUGAAAAGAGAGUUAAAAAGUACGUGAAACCGUUAAAAGGGAAGCAAAUGGCACUAGCAUUUGUACCUGUCAUAAUCAAUCAGUCGUCUUGAAACCGGGCGGUGUAGAGAGUGUUAAAGCCUCUUGCCGUUCGUAUGGAGAGUUCGGCUGGUGCACUUGUGGCUGGUACAGGCCAACAUCAGUUCGGACUGGGACACACACGCAGCGGGAAGGUGGCUUGUAGCUUCGGCUGCAAGUGUUAUAGCCCGUUGUGAAUGUUCCGGGCUGGACUGAGGCGUCGCAGGUUGUGCUUUCGGGCUAGUUCCCUGGUUUAAUGGUAUAGCGGUUUCCUUCUACUUGCGAAAAGUAAGUUGUUGGAAGCUACGCGGUGCCAUUAUUUCAGGUGUAUCAUAAACAACCUUCGGAUGUUGGCGAAAUGGUGUUAUCUGACCCGUCUUGAAACACGGACCAAGGAGUCUAACAUAUAUGCGAGUCUUUGGGUGGCAAACCCGCAGGCGCAAUGAAAGUAAAGGCACGUUCGGCGUGCUGAGGUGAGAUCCGCAAGGAGCAUCAUCGACCGAUCUGGAUGGUUUCCUGAAAGAUUUGAGUAAGAGCAUAUCUGUUGGGACCCGAAAGAUGGUGAACUAUGCCUGAAUAGGGUGAAGUCUGAGGAAACUCAGAUGGAAGCUCGUAGCGAUUCUGACGUGCAAAUCGAUCGUCAAAUUUGGGUAUAGGGGCGAAAGACUAAUCGAACCAUCUAGUAGCUGGUUCCCUC